AGAGUUUGAUCCUGGCUCAGAUUGAACGCUGGCGGCAUGCCUUACACAUGCAAGUCGAACGGCAGCGCGGGGCAACCUGGCGGCGAGUGGCGAACGGGUGAGUAAAAUAUCGGAACAUACCCUAGAGUGGGGGAUAACGUAGCGAAAGUUACGCUAAUACCGCAUACGCACUAAGGUGGAAAGUGGGGGAUUCGCAAGAACCUCAUGCUCAUGGAGUGGCCGAUAUCUGAUUAGCUAGUUGGUGAGGUAAAGGCUCACCAAGGCGACGAUCAGUAGCUGGUUUGAGAGAACGACCAGCCACACUGGAACUGAGACACGGUCCAGACUCCUACGGGAGGCAGCAGUGGGGAAUUUUGGACAAUGGGGGCAACCC
Molecule: ribosomal RNA, 373 nt
Filed under: uncultured bacterium
Lineage: Bacteria
Description: bacterial SSU rRNA
Rfam family: Bacterial small subunit ribosomal RNA
Source: RNAcentral